RNAcentral lists this transfer RNA (72 nucleotides) under Angiostrongylus costaricensis. It matches the Rfam family "tRNA". Rfam says of the family: Transfer RNA (tRNA) molecules are approximately 80 nucleotides in length. Their secondary structure includes four short double-helical elements and three loops (D, anti-codon, and T loops). Further hydrogen bonds mediate the characteristic L-shaped molecular structure. tRNAs have two regions of fundamental functional importance: the anti-codon, which is responsible for specific mRNA codon recognition, and the 3' end, to which the tRNAs corresponding amino acid is attached (by aminoacyl-tRNA synthetases). tRNAs cope with the degeneracy of the genetic code in two manners: having more than one tRNA (with a specific anti-codon) for a particular amino acid; and 'wobble' base-pairing, i.e. permitting non-standard base-pairing at the 3rd anti-codon position. The record is from Rfam by way of RNAcentral. Lineage: Eukaryota; Metazoa; Nematoda; Chromadorea; Rhabditida; Metastrongylidae.
GCGUUUGUAGUGCAAUGGUUAGCAUGGAUGCCUUCCAAGCAUCCGACGGGGGUUUGAUUCCCCCCAAACGCA